RNAcentral lists this ribosomal RNA (284 nucleotides) under uncultured bacterium. RNAcentral describes it as "partial 16S ribosomal RNA". It matches the Rfam family "Bacterial small subunit ribosomal RNA", at positions 34 to 335 of the family's 1533-position model. The record is from RNAcentral. RNAcentral also lists the same sequence under 1 other name.
CGCUGGCGGCGUGCCUAACACAUGCAAGUCGAACGGUUCUAAGCGCGAGCUUAGGAUAGUGGCGAACGGGUGAGUAAAAGGUAGGAAUCUACCCCUUGGACGGAGAUAGCUACUGGAAACGGUAGGUAAACUUCGAUAAGCCCGAGAGGGGAAAGUGGUGAGACAGCCGAGGGAUGAGCCUACUCUCCAUCAGGUAGUUGGUGAGAUAAAAGCUUACCAAGCCGAUGACGGAUAACCGGUGUGAGAGCAUGAACGGUCACAAGGGCACUGAGAGACGGGCCCUA